UUCCAUUUUAUUUAUUUAUUUUUCUAUUUACAUUAUUUUUUUUAUUAUAUUAUAUUUUUUAUUUAUUUAUUUAUUCAGUCAGUCAGUCAGUCAGUCAGUCAGUCAGUUAGUUAGUUAGUUUUAAAAUCAGAUGUUCAAUACCAUAAUUAUGUGAUAAGUCUGUGUCCGAUCAGCCCAUCAGCACACACUCUUUCUAAAUCGGUCGUUCACACACACUCAGAGGGAAACCUAUUUUCUGCCUGCCUCUCUAUCUCUCCUCCUUUGCCUCAGGCUACAUCAUGAUGACCUCAAGAGCCAUUUAUUAACAUGGAUUAGAUGUCGACAGGAACCAAACCUGGCAGAAAAGCUCCCCCCUCUCUCUCCCCCUCUCUCUCCCCAUUCAGAGGCCUGACACAGAGAUUAAGAUAAAAGGAGAGACAGAUAGAGAGAAGAAGAGACGGAGGGAUGUAUGAGAGCGGAAGAAAGAUUGACCAUCCUUGGCCCUCUCCUGGUUCAUCAUUCAAAGGGCCGAGGGUUUGAUUUCCUCUCUGUGCUCCGGAUGAGCCAUCAAUAACUGCGCUGUUAAAGUCAGACAGACAGAGACCGACUCUCCGUCUUUUGUGGAGAGGAAAGUAAACCUGCUCUUGAAAUAGCUCUUCUAUUCAAACAACUAUCAAAUGUUCAAACAAGUGAUCAGAUCACAAAGAAACACCAGCAGAAAUCUAAAGAGCUGCAGGAGAGGAGGAUCAUUCUGAACUUUAGUGUCCCUGUUUUAUGAUUGUUUGCUGUUCUUCUGUCUGCCUCUGAGAAAGAAACGUCCAGAUUCGCAGCUUCAUGUUUUUAUUUAUUUCAGGACCAGGUCUCCAUCUCAUUUUUCUCUGUUUCAGAGAGUCAGCUCUGGUUCAGCUGCUCUCUUAGUAACAGGUCUCCACGCAUUCUGUCCCUUUCUCCACAGGGGGCGCCAAAGUGGACAAUCAAGAGACAAAAUAUGUUUUUAAAAAGUUUUUAAAAAAUUUUGUUUGCCAACUUCAAAGUUUUUGCUCGUUUUCCAGCCUGAAUCGGCCUCCUUCUGGACGGUAACUCUGAUUUCUUUAAUCAAAGUUGUUCUAGAACUUCUCAAAAAUCGGAGGAAUUAUACAAAAAAAUACAAAAA
Xyrichtys novacula (pearly razorfish) is the source of this 1132-nucleotide non-coding RNA. NCBI's taxonomy places the organism in Eukaryota, Metazoa, Chordata, Actinopteri, Labriformes, Labridae. The record is from the annotation of a GenBank genome assembly.